AAGGAGUUUUCGGCAAUGGGGGGAACCCUGACCGAGCAACGCCGCGUGAGUGAUGACGGCCCUAUGGGUUGUAAAGCUCUGUUAUAAGGGACGAACAGCUUUGCUAGGAAAUGAGCAGAGUCUGACGGUACUUUAUCAGAAAGCCACGGCUAACUACGUGCCAGCAGCCGCGGUAAUACGUAGGUGGCAAGCGUUAUCCGGAAUUAUUGGGCGUAAAGAGUGAGCAGGCGGCAGAUUAAGUUUGAGGUUAAAGCGUGGGGCUCAACCCCAUAAAGCCCUGAAAACUGAUCAGCUAGAGUACGAGAGAUGUGAAGGGAACUCCAUGUGUAGCGGUGAAAUGCGUAGAUAUAUGGAAGAACACCAGUGGCGAAGGCGCUUCACAAGCUCGAAACUGACGCUCAGUCACGAAAGCGUGGGUAGCAAAUA
This 426-nucleotide ribosomal RNA is filed under the name uncultured bacterium. Its description in RNAcentral is "bacterial SSU rRNA". It matches the Rfam family "Bacterial small subunit ribosomal RNA", at positions 356 to 774 of the family's 1533-position model. The record is from RNAcentral.